UCACAACAACUGUGUGAGGUAUAGGUGUC
This 29-nucleotide non-coding RNA is filed under the name Mus musculus (house mouse). The record is from RNAcentral. Lineage: Eukaryota; Metazoa; Chordata; Mammalia; Rodentia; Muridae.